This 5302-nucleotide long non-coding RNA is filed under the name Cricetulus griseus (Chinese hamster). RNAcentral describes it as "lncRNA (ENSCGRG00015038546.1)". Lineage: Eukaryota; Metazoa; Chordata; Mammalia; Rodentia; Cricetidae. The record is from RNAcentral.
CCCAGGGUGGUUGCUAUGCUCUCUACGUCAUUGCUGUGUGCUUGUCCAUAAAGCACACCCAGGGUCGUAAAGCAUAGCGCCACCAGCUAACUUCCGAUUGGCUCCUUGUCACAAGGCAGGCAUCUGACUUUCUAGUGACUAACUUCUGAUGGGUUCCUUGUCACGAGACAGGCAUCUGACCUCUAAGUGACCAAGGAAGGUUUAUGGCAAGCACAUGUUUGGCUGUUAUGGCUGCCAAAAGGGAAGCUGGUUCCUUCAAGCCUUCAUCCAGUAGCUGAUGGAAGCAGAAGCAGACACGCACAGCUAAACACCGAGUUGAACUCUGGAAUUCACUUGCAGAGAGGGAGGAGUGAUGAGCAGGUGGAGAAACCCACAGAAACAGAUGACCUGUACAAGGGGGAGAUCAUGGACCCCAGACUCAUAGCUGGGAAACCAGCAUAGGACUGAUCCAGACGCCUUGAACGUUUUCUCUGUGGCUUUGGAGGUUUUCCUGGAACUAGCUCUUGUAGACCAGCUGAUUUCAAACUCAGAGAGAUCCCCCUGCCUCUGCCUCCUGAGUGUUGUGAUUAAAGGUGUGCACCACCACAAUAAAAUUAUGGACCUUUUACUAAAAGUACUUUCUGGAUUCUAGGGUUUGAAAUGGAUUUCUUCCUCAGUAUAAUCACCCCAAAACACAGAUCCUAUCUUAAAACUCCACUGCAAUAGAAUCUGCAGCGAAGCCUUUGGGUCAGUCACUCUGUUGUAUAUUAACCUAACAUAUUUUCAUGUCAUUAGUACAUUGACAUCCGUCCUUCCACUAAGAGACAAGCCUCCUCUGAAGAUGAAUAGCAUUGGCAUCAUAGUAAUAAAUUCCCAUACCUGAUUUAUGUGGUACUGGGGAACAAACCCAGGGAUUCCUGCAUGCAUGUUAGAAAUAGGACUCAUACUUAGCUAUUCAAAACUCCAAUGAAUGAAGUUUAGAGGAAGAUGCAUCCUGCUUAUGUCUGUAAAACAAGAAGCUUGAAAAUUACACAACUCGGAUUGGAAGUGGAUCCUUUACACACAGUUAAGUCUCAAUAUGUCUGUUGUUCUGCCUGACAAAGUCUCUGCAAUAUCACCAAAGACCUGGAGUCACAGCCUGAGCUCUUUCUCAGCAACUGAAAAGGUCCAGAGGCUGCAUAAGGCCGUGGUUUCUGGAGAUCUACAAAGAUGUCACCAAAUAACAAUCUAAACAACAGAGGAGAGGCUACCUUAAUUGCCCUCCCCUGAUAAUGAAAUUGAUGACUAAUUCAUAUGCCAUCCUAUAGCCUUCAUUCAGCAGCUGGUGGAAGUAGAAGCAGACACCCACAACUAAUCACUGAACUGAACUGGAAUCCAGUUGCUGAGAAGGAGGAGUGAUGAGCAAAGGAGUCCAAACCAGGCAGGUGAAACCCACAGAAACAGAUGACCUGAACAAAGGGGAGCUCUUGGUUCCCAGACUGAUAGCUGGGAAACCAGCAUGGUACUGUUACAGAUCCCAUGAAUAUGGUUGUCAGUGAGGAGACCUGGGAAAUCUAUGGGGCCUCUUGUAGCAGAUCAGUACUUAUCUCUAGCAUAGGAAUGGACUUUGGGAGCCCGUUCCACAUAGAGAUACUCCUUGAGCCUAGACUCACUGGGGCAGGGCAGGGCGAGGCAGGCCUUACCCCAAAGGAUAUGAUGGACUCUAAAGAUCCCCUAUCGAAGGCCUCACCCUCCUUGGGGAGCAGAAAGAGUAUGGGGUAGGUAGGGUGUUAGUUGGGGGGGGGGAAACAGAGGAGGAGCAGAGGGAGAGGGAACUGGGAUUGACAUGUAAAACAAUCUUGUUUCCAAUUCAAUUUAAAAAAAAUGGAGAAAAGAAAAAGAUUACCCCCCCCCGCAAAAAAAAAUGAGAAGAAACAGAAAUUCCAGAGUUCUUCAUAACAGGAGUGAACAAAAAGUGUCAUGCCCUCACCUCCAUGCCUUAUCAGUUGCAAUGGCCACUCUAUUUCUCUACACCUUAUUGUUUCUAAUUUAGUUUUUAUAAUAUUUCACUCUUGUUAAGUUUCUUACCCUAUGUGUCUCAACUCUUCUCCCUUCCAGUUUGAUGUGAUAUGCUCCGUGAAGCCACUAAGUGAUACCUUCAUGUGCAUAGUUGCAGGGCCAUCUACUGGAACAAGGACAGUCUUUUAGGGGUUGCUUCCCUGAAUAAAUUGAUUCCCCGUCAGCUGUCAAUUAUGAAUAGUUCUCACCUAAUGGUGGAACUUCAGGAGCCCCUCCCCCAUCCAUGCUUGGAUUUUGGCAGACUUGAUUAUGACUAUACAUGCUGUCACAGGCACUGUGAGUUCACAUGUGUAAUGACGCUCCCAUGCUGCCCCCCCAAAAUCCUGCUUUGUCACAUUUCUACUGUCUCUGCCUCUUACACUCUUUCCUACCCCCUUUCCACAAUGAUCUCUGAGCCUUAUUUGGGGGAGGUAGUAUAACAUAGAUGUCCCAUCCAGAGUUGAUCUCUUCUAAAUCUUUGUUUUCUGUGCAUUCACCGCUUUUGGGUUUCUGCAUCACUCAUCAUCUACUUAAAAAGAAGCUUAACUAAUGGGUGUUGAGAGAUGUGCUAAUUACUAAUUUAGCAGAAUAACAGUAUUAAAUUCUCAAACCCUGACAUGGAUUUUGAGAAAGGGAAAUACUAAAUUACAGUGUCUAGGAGUGUAAAUUGUUAAAGCCACUAUGAAAACCAAUGUGAGGUUUCCUCAAAAAUCUAAAAAUAGAUCUAUUGUAUGAUCCAGCUAGACCAAUCAUGACCAUAUUGCCAUGGGUCUUGACAGUGUCCUGCAGAGAUACUUGCUCACCCAUGUUUAUUGCUACUCUAUUCACAAUUAGGCAGAGGAGUGGAAACAGCCUACAUAUAUGUAAACUUUUGAAUGGAUAAUGAAUAUUUGGUACAUUUACACAAUGGAAUACUAUUCAGCUGUUAAGAAAAAGGAAAUUAUAAAAUCUGCAAGUAAAUGGAUGGAGCUAGAACUAAAAUUGUUAGUGGGUUACCCAGACCCUAAAAGACAAACACCAUAUACUGUAUUUCAUGAGUGUGUGUUAGCUUUGCAUUUUAGACGUAUGUAUGUUUAUAUUGGAAAACAUAUUGGAGGAAGGAAAUUAGUAAGAGGACAGAAGGAAGGAAUUUCAAGUGAAGGAGACAGAAUGCAGUGGUCCAAAGGAGUAAAAGAAAAUAAUAGAUAAGGAAUGGUUAAAUAGAGUCAGGAAUGAGAAGGCAGGGUAAUGAAUGGCAUAUGGGGAGGGAUAACUAACUAUAAUACCAUUGAAAAACCCAUACAGAAGACUACUACUAUUGAAGUUUCCUAAAUUAUAUUCAUAUAACUUCACACAAAAUAUUUUCUGUGUAGUUACUCUCUAAUGGGGAUAUAAUGCCUCUUCUAGACACCAGCAAGCAAAUAAAAAGCUCAGGUUAAGGUAUAGAUUAUUGCUUACCUCUAAAAUUCUUAAAUCUCUACUUUCACUCUUGGGAGUUAGCAUUACAUUGCCAUGAAGGAAGAGAGCAACGAAUGGUCAAAGACUCUGACAUACAGGGUUCAAUAUACCAUAAUCCCAUCAUUGAGUACAUGGGUCCAGAAUGAGAUCCAGCCACAAAUAUACUUUUAUAAUUCUUAAAUAAAAGAAUAUUCUUUCUAAUAUAUCAAGAUUGAAAUGUUUAGGAAAAGAACAGAGAAGAAAUAACUAACAAAUGAAUUCCAGCAAACAUUGUGUAUCACCACUUCCCAUAGGAAAAACAGGCAGACAUGUUUAUAAAAUCUAUAAUGAUGUCCAGAGUAUCUAAGAAUUUUAUCCACCUUUUUUUCACAUGAAAAAUGAGUUCCUUGGUCACAGUGGAAUAUUGGAAGUGUGUAACAGUAAGCAAGCCUGUCAUCAAGUUCCUGUCUUAAGGUCCUGCCUUGACUCCCAAUAAUAGUGGGAUGUGAUUUGGAAUUGCAGGCCAAAUAAACUACUUCUUACCCUGAGUUGUUUUGAUCAGUAUGUUUUAUUACUGUAACAGGUAUUAAACUAGGACAUCUUAGGGUACCAGUCAGCCAUCUGCAAAUCAGAGAGAACUUCAACAUGGACCAUCAACCUUCAGAACUGUGAAGAAAUAGUUGUAUGUUGCCUUAGCUUUCCUGACAGUGUUAGUUAUAACAACAUAAUCCCUUAGCAUUUCUAAGUACUUUAGACUGUUCAUAGACUGUGCAUUGUUCUGUUGGUAACAAUGAUGGGCUGAACUUCUAAAUGCUCACCCUAUAUUCGUUAGCUCAUUCAUAAUUAAGUUACAAAAGUUCUCUUAGUUUGUCUUCUCCAGUUAGAAUAACUGAAAAAAAGCUCAAAAUGACAAAAUAGAAGUCUGUUUAGGAGCUGGGCAUUGGUGGUGCACGCAUUUAAUCCCAGCACUCAGGAGGCAGAGUCAGGCAGAUCUCUGUGACUUUGAGGCCAACCUGGUCUCCAGAGCAAGUGCCAGGAUAGGCUCCAAAGCUACACAGAGAAACCCUGUCUUGGAAAAAAAAUAAAAAAGUCUGUUUAGGAAUUUUACUUACAUUUCCCAGGUUAGUUUUGCCAUCUGAUGUUGUCACAUUGGUGGUGGCUUUAUGUUUCUUUUAUAAAUAUCACAUAGAAAAAAAAAAAAAAAAAAAAAGCCUGAUGUUCAAUUCUGGAUUCAGGAAAAAGUAGAGCAUUAGCUAAUCAUUUAUAGGAGUUAUUCAGAGACCAAGUGGAAGAAAGAGAGGUAGCCUAAAGGUGUGAAAAUUAUUGCUAUGCAAGUUUAAACAGUUUUAUUAGUUUCUUUAAAAAUAUUCAGAAUUCUGGCACUGCUCUUUAUUGCAUUACCCAACCUAUUUAGGGAGGUUAACAGCCACCCACAUUAACACGCUCCAUAUAAUAUUUACUGCAAUAUGUGUCGGUUUCAAUCAGUUUCACCACUGUGACUGACUUGAAUGAUGUUAAAUGUCUCUUGUGGCCCUUUCUUCCAGAAUGUAAUAAGAGGAACUUCUUGCUAUAAAAGUAUGUGGAUUAAAGAAAGUGUUCAAACUUUGAACUCCUAAUUUUGAGGCCACUUUAAGGGUAUGAUGAAUUAUUAUGCAUCAACAUGUGCUCACACACCUGCCAGAUUCCACCUUGAGCCUGGGAUUUUUCUCAAGAGGCAUCAAACAUCAUUUCAGCUGUCAUCGUGUUUUUUCCCAAUGCAAGAGUCUAAUUUUGUCAGUCAUCUAUUAAUAGGGGUCUAAAUUAACUUUGGGUGACUGCAUCCUGUCACUGAUUCCUCAGUGUUCAGUGGAUUUGAAGCUGUCCUCAAAAG